GGAGACUCUCAAAGGGUACUUUUCCCUUUAACUUUCUCUCUUUGUUUCUAAUUUUGUUUUUUAGUAGUUUUAAUUGUUCAGGGUUUGACUCAAACCGUUUGAGAGCUUGGUGUUUACUUGCAACCACAUUCUUGGAUUCUCUAACACAAGGUUGUAAGGCUGAAUAUCGUGUGAAUCAGAUAAGGAAUAACUAUUUUAACUUAUCUUGAAUCAAUAUACAAUUAUAUUAAUCGAAAUAAGCUAGAGAAAGGUUUAUUUGUCUGUGGUAUAAGCAGUGGCAUAAGUUGCUGGAAGAACUUGCACGAUAGAGUAAAACAAGAAUAUCAACUAGCCACGAACUCCUACUUCUUAAAGCACCGCAAUCCGUAGCUGUGAAAAAAUGUGAGAGAUCAAGUUCUAGAGAAAAACCAAAAGCUAAGCAAGAUUCAGAUUUGUGGAAGUAAAGCUUUUGCAUGAUAAUUCAAUAAAAUCAUAUUCAGAUCUAUCGCAAUGGAGCAUUAAAAUGGUCGUGCGUCAUAUUUGCCCAUUCGAGUCCAAAGUCAAGAUCUAUUUAGAGCAAUCAAAAUACACAUUUUGAAAAGAAGUCUUCUUUCAUCCUUGCACGGUGAAGAACAAAGACUCUGCUUCCCUUUCCAGGAUUCUUAUUCGUUUGGUUGUUGAAAGAUACCAAGAACUCUCAUCAAAACUAGAGUACAAUUUUCCAUUGAAGUAGCAAGAGUAGAUCUAUGGAGGUGCUUUCCAGGAUUUUGAAGUAACGUGAAGCUGAAUAUUGAAAAUAUGCAAAGACAAAAAGGCUCGAGCGGGAAUCAGGGAGGUUCACUUCCAUUGACUUACAUCGACAGCAGAAGGCAGUAGUCAAGGUGCUCUCCUGAUUAGGUGGUGCUAGAGAAAACGAAGGAAAGCCUAGGUGCAUGGUGCAACAUAUGGUAAUUUGUUGGAUUGUUGCCCCCAAGACAUGAAAGUACUGAAACCAUUGGAAGGGCUUUGACUCUCGGUGUUAACAUCAAGAUGAUCACUGGUGAAUUUGCUCACCCAUUGAUCGUGUUGUAAUAAUAAUACACCUUUGCCAUUUUCCACUAACAUUCUAUUGGACGACGUAGGCCAGAUAACCAGUUGUAAACUUGGAAUGGGAAUAAACAUGUAUCCAUCUUCGGCUUUUCUUGGUACGCACAAGUGGUAGGAACCAACAAACCCCAUGGAUGAAUAUGUCUCUCAAGUCUCAAUGGUUGUAAGUUUUGUCACGUAAGAGACAUGGAGAACAUACCUGGCAGAGAAUCAAGUGAAUUCCUCCAAAGAACUGAUCAGAUUAGAAAGAGCUAGUGUCUUGCGGCUGAAUAGGUAAACAUUCUUAGAAUAAAACUACUAGCAAAUUGGAAAUAUGUUAUACCCAUCUUUCUCAGAUUUUUUCAGAAUGGGAGAUAUGUAAAGGAAGGAACAAAUACUUUUGACAAACUAUUUAGGCCAUCGUCAAAGAUUUUGCAACAUACACAUCCAUUAAUUAGUAUUCAGUAGACAGUGGAAAGAAGUGUCUAAAGGAAACUUGAACCCAGAUGUCUGCAUAGAGGUAAAUCCACAUAAGAUCUCACACCCUCGGCCAAGUUCACAUCACACAUUAGAAUUAUAGAACCUUGACGUGUCUUUAUUCGGUGGAGCAUGGAAUUCUUCUCAUUGUAGAUCGCUGCUUGACAUUGUUUGACAAUCCACUGGUCGACUCUCUUCACACAACUUACAAUGAGCUCAAGCUUAAAAAUGGGUGUGUUCGGCAUUCUAAAUCAAUGUCACAAAGGAGACAAGCGGUAAGAACCACCAAACCCCAUUGACGAAGAUGGUCUCCUGGAAGAUUUGGCACGUAAGAGACGUAGAGAACAUACUUGUUGGAGCAUCAAAUGAUUUCCUCCAAAGAAAUUGAUUAGAUUGGGAAGACUAGUGUCUCGCGGCUGAAUAGGUAAGCAUGCUUGGAGCAUAACGGCUAGCGGCAAUGUCCAACUGCCAUUAGGAACAACCUGAAAAUCUACAUCGACCUCUUUGAUAGCGUGAUAUAGUCAUGUGUGCAUGCAUACAUUCAUAUGUGCAUACAUUCAUACAUCCAUACAUUCAUGCAUACAUUCAUACAUUCAUACAUUCAUACAUUCAUACAUCCAUACAUGCAUGCAUACAUUCAUACAUGCAUACAUUCAUACAUUCAUACAUCCAUACAUGCAU
Molecule: small RNA, 2202 nt
Filed under: Arabidopsis thaliana (thale cress)
Lineage: Eukaryota; Viridiplantae; Streptophyta; Magnoliopsida; Brassicales; Brassicaceae
Description: putative long intergenic non-coding RNA
Source: RNAcentral